Molecule: small RNA, 1514 nt
Filed under: Pongo abelii (Sumatran orangutan)
Lineage: Eukaryota; Metazoa; Chordata; Mammalia; Primates; Hominidae
Description: retained intron
Source: RNAcentral
GUACUGGGAUUAUAGGCGUGAGCCACCAUGCCUGGCCUUCAGUGAGUGCUUUGACAGAAUUUUACCUGAAUGUCAAGAGCUAAAAAACAAAAAACAAAACAAACAAAAAUACUUUUCUCAGUUUUUGCCAAUUGGGCCUGUACUGGGGCCCUCCUUCAACACUUAGCCAGGCUUUCACUGAGCUUAGCAAUCAGCUAUGAUGAAACCUGAAGUUUUUAUCACAUCUUUUCUGAGCAAGCAUCUUGCCCUGGGCACAUGCAUGGCUGUCUAAAUUCCCUGCAUACACAGGUGCUUCUGAUUGUCCUAACUUCCCAAAGAAACUCUGUCCUCAAAUUUUUUGCCCAAGCCUUAGGUGGUUUAUUGCAUGUCUCAACUGUGACCUUUUGCCUCAGGCCUUGUUCUUCUACCUUACGAUGAUUCAAGCAAUGCCUGCUGCUUUUCCAAUCUGGGUUAGUUCAGAGUUAGGCAAACAGAGGUGAGCAUUUUUUGCCAGUCCUUCACGUACAGACAGGUUAAAACCGAUCUACACAAUAAUUUGCAAAUAAGGUCUGCUUUGCUCCCUCUAGAACCAGGGACCACACUCCCAUGCUGACAGUAUGGGCUGCUGUCUUCAGGACCAUUGCAAGAUGUCAGAGCUGCAGCAUGGUCUGGAGGCUUUCCUCGCUUUCUUCUGCUUCCCCUCCCUUGAUCCUUCACAGGCAUUUUCCUCAAUACAUCUCUUGCCUGGCUAAUCCUGUCUGAUGAGUUUCCAGAUGGACCUGAAUUAAAAUCUUGUUCUGUUGCCCAGGCUGGAGUGCAGUAGCACAAUCAUGGCUCACUGUGGCCUCUACCUUCUGGCUUCAAGUAAUCCUCCUGCCUCAGCCUCCUCAGUAGCUAGACUACAGGUGCAUGCCACCAUGCCCAGCUAAUCUGUAAAUUUCUUAUAGAGACCAGGGUCUCCCUAUGUUGCCCAGGCUGGUCUUGAAUUCCUGGCCUCAAGCAUUCCUCCCACCUUAGCCUCCAAAAGUGCUGGAGUUACAGGCGUGAGCCACCGCCCAGCCUAUGCAAAUAAUUUUUAAACAAUAAAUAUUAAAUGGCUUUGUUUCUUUUGGAGACAGGGUCUCACUCUAUCACCCAGGCUGGAGUGCAGUGGUGGGAUCAUGCCUCACGGCAGCUUCAACCUCCCAGGCUCAAGCGAUCUUCCCACCUCAGCCUACUGAGUAGCUGGGACUACAGGCACAAGCCACCACACCCGGCUAAUUUUUGUAUUUUUUGCAGAGAUGGAGUUUUGUCAUGUUGCUCAGGCUGGUCUCAGACUCCUGAGCUCAAGUGAUCCACCCGCCUUGACCUCCCAAAGUGCUGGGAUUACAGGCAUGAGCCACUGCAUCCAGCCUAAACUGUAUAUUAAAACAACUGCUUUAGAACACAGUCACAGAAAUGGGAUCGAGUCAAAUGGACUGUAUAAUUUUAGAUUAAUUCAUAGAUUAGUAUUGGCAAGUUACUUUCUAUUCAGUUUCCACAAAUCUACAUUGCCC